UAUUUUUUAUAUAUUUUAUACGAUUUACAUGAAACUGAUAAAAUCGUCAGAAAUUUUUAUUACAAUUAUAAUUAUUUUUUUUCAGCUGGGGAAGUAAUGAUUUCAAUUGCUGUUUAAUUAGCCUCAAAUCUUCGUUUGGUGAUAAGCCGUAAUAAUCUACAAAUUUGUCGUUAGAAUUACUAUAAAUAAUAACUAUAAAAAAUAACCAAAAAUACUGAAAUAACGAUAAAAUAAUUAUCUUUGUUUAAGAUAAAAACAAGAGAACGUAAAACAAUUUAUAGCCUCGUGACGAUGGAAAAACAAACCUUGAGAGGAGUGAAGACACGAUGAUUUCUUAAUCCUCCUGAUGGUUGAAAUUUGCGUUGGUGUCUGGACGUUCGGCUGGCUGGAUGUGACACAGCCGAAUUUUGAAAAGCAUCAGCUAUGCCGACAUCUUGCCUUCGAGGCGCCCAGUUAAUAUUGUGGAUAAAUUCUACUCGUUGAACACAAAGAUUUAAACAGAACACUCAGUCACAGAACACUAUAAUAUUUAAGGAAUUUGAUUGUGUGAUCUUGAUUUUAUCCCUCCUGGAUAGUCCAUGAAGAGGAUGAGCAGUAGAAAGUACAGUCGACGCGUUAUUCGAAAGAGACACCUGCACGAGGCUGGAGACUCGCCAAAUAACUGAUAGCGUGGGCGUCGCGACUUCGAAGACGACGUCGAACGACCAAAGUCGAGAGGGGGUGAAGCUUCCCCGUUCUUCUUGUUCCAUUGGUCAGGAACCGAUUGUGUGAUUCGUGUCUUCCUCCUCUCCGUCUUCUGUUCUUACCGAUCGUUCCUAUCACUGGAGCUAAGCUGCGAAUUGUUGCACCGGUAGAGUCGUCAUCAGUUGCUCUGAUUUGGAGAGGAAGAUUCAUGAUACGAAGAUGAUGGAGACCUACGAUGAGAUUUAAGAUUCAUUUGUGAUAGAUAAACUAUUAAUGCACUCAAAGAAAGUAAGAAAUUACAAUUUCUACAAAUUAGAAUUACUACGAAUUUUAGGGGAUGGUUUUAUGAUGAUGAGACGCAAUGUAUAUUCAAUAUUAAUAAGAUUUUUAUUAAUGGAUUGCGGAUAUUUAUGCAUAUUUAUAUUUUUAUGAAUAUAAUUAAACUGGAAUUUAUGCAGAGAAUUUUUUCUUUCGUAAAUAUCACAACGAGUGUUAUACUCUUGAUAUUUUGCAUAUUUCAUAUACAUUCUACACAUUUCUACACCUUUCGAUUUCUCCUCCUUCUUUCUAAUCUAAAUAUAUCAAAAUUCACACUCAGUUUUUAAUAAGCAAUCCAACAACCAUCACGAUUUUUCAAUCAUCAAAAUCUAAACUCCUGCACAUCGAAUUAA
Bombus pascuorum is the source of this 1355-nucleotide long non-coding RNA. RefSeq lists it as uncharacterized. The record is from RefSeq and is a predicted model, not a curated record. The transcript has 4 exons. NCBI's taxonomy places the organism in Eukaryota, Metazoa, Arthropoda, Insecta, Hymenoptera, Apidae.